UGUGGCCGUAAGAGGUUGAAACACCAGCUCUCGUAUAUUAACUGAAGUUAAGCAACGCCGUGUCUAGUCAGUACCUAGAUGGGUAACUGCUUGGGAAUACCAGGUGCUGUAAG
This is a non-coding RNA of Acanthosepion pharaonis, 113 nucleotides long. NCBI's taxonomy places the organism in Eukaryota, Metazoa, Mollusca, Cephalopoda, Sepiida, Sepiidae. The record is from the annotation of a GenBank genome assembly.